This is a long non-coding RNA of Chinchilla lanigera (long-tailed chinchilla), 2854 nucleotides long. RefSeq lists it as uncharacterized. The record is from RefSeq and is a predicted model, not a curated record. The transcript is spliced from 4 exons. Lineage: Eukaryota; Metazoa; Chordata; Mammalia; Rodentia; Chinchillidae.
UAUACAGGUAUAUGUGUAUAUCUAUAUAUGUCCAUUCUUGUCAAGUACACCAAACCCUGAGCUAAAAUCAGAUAAUAAAAAUGUGACCAAUUUCCAAAGACACAGACUACUGUCAUUUUGCUCAAUUUCUAAAUUUGCAGAUAUUAGAAAAUAAUAUGUAAAAUGCUUUUCCCUAAUUACCAAUGCAUAUGCAGUAAGAAAAACAUUUUAGUUUUACACAGGCAAAUGCACAUGUGUCCCCCCCACACACACACUGGCUAACAGUAUGCUUUGCAUUUUACCUGCAAAGCAUAGGUAUUUGAUAAAUUUCAUAUUUUUCUGCUUUGUCAUUGAAAUUGUUUGCAUUAUAAAAACAAAAUGUGUUCCUACAGAACAUUUUUAAACUUCAUAAACAUACCAUAAAGAAUGAAAACCAAUGUCCCAUCAGUAGCUCAACCAAUUGUUAACCACUGAAAGGCCUGGGGGUAGAUUUACUUUAUGUUCCUGUGUGGUUUCUUCAGGUCUUUUAUAAUUGUAUAUGUAUUGGGGUUAUAAGGAGAUGAUGUUGUUAAUGUUAUAGCUUGCACAGAGAAACAUUCAGUAGCUAGUAGGUGCUAGUAAGAAAGGUAGCAUCCUUUUGUCAAUUAUUUUUACUUUAACUCCAUCUUGAUCUGCAGUAGCUUUGGGAGUGUUGUUUAUACAGUAUUUCAUUUCAUGAAUGUGCCAUUAGGUUAGUGUAUUUGAGUACAUCAAAUUUUUACCAUUAUAAAUAAAGCAAGGUUUAAUAUAUAUAUGUGUAUAGCUUUUGCUCAUGUGUGUCACCCUAUGAUACAUUCUGAAUAAAAUCUGAAUACUGUUUUUUAGGCUCUUGAAACUGUUCAUAGGAAUGUGCACUGUGUGUUUCCAGCAGAACUUCAUUCAGUGAUUACCUCAAAGGGAAUCUGCAGUUCUAGUUUUGAUUAUAAAAAUGACUGACCUGAAGGAACAAGAUGAGUACAAAGGGGAUGACAGUAAUUAUGUGACCUUCAUGCGAUUCACCGUAUAAACGCCUUCUCUAAUUCUAAGUCCACGAGUAUGUAUGGUUCUUUACUAUCUCGUAGAAAGCUGUAAUAUAAUGGAGACUUAAAACCUCUAAUAGCAGAGGUUUUUCAUUCUUUGCCUCAUUUUACCCAAGAGCAAGUUGGCAGAGUACAUGUUUAAGUGGGGACAGGUUUGAUUUCUGUUGAUUUAAACAACUUUAUCUUAGUUGGGGAAUACACAUUAUCACUUAGAAAUCAAAAUAUUAAGCCAGGUAUUAGUAACCCAUAAACACUUUAAAUCAUGUUAAAUUAUGAACCAGAACAUACCCAACAUGAAAUCUUAAUGUAAGUCAGUAUAACAUUUAUUUAUAUCAAGCAGUGUUUACUUCAGGUUUUUUUUCUUAUUAUUAAUUUCUCUAGAUAAGAAAGUCACAAACAGAUUUCACCAAAUCUUUCAUAUACCAUAUACUUUAGGCAUCACUUCAGCUCAAAGAUUAGGGAAAGUUUUCUACCUGUAAAGUCGGGUCUCCAUUAAUUACCCAUAUGCUAGACUUGCUUUACUUUAUCUAGCAAUGGGGGUGGGUUAUGAAUUCUACUGAUAAUGUCCAUUUUGUGCACCACUUAGGCUGUGAUGUUUCUACUUCCCAUUCAUGCUCAGUACUUACCUGGUAACUAGUUUGGCCAUAAGCAUCAAAUUCAUGCCUAUCAUUUGAGAAUGCCUCCAUGUGCAGCUCAGUAUCAAGCGAAUGCCUUUCAAGUUAGCCUCCAGGCUCAAUGUGUAGAAGUGGGUUUUGGAUACCCUGUUGGGGACUUCCACUGAUCAGAUUCCUCAGGUCCAAACCCUACAGAAGUUCUAUCACCUUCCCACUCCUUCCACUGUGGUUCUUCAAGGGGAGUGCUCCCAGGAUGUGCACAAGGUGCAGUGGUCAAGCCCCACUGAAGCCCUGCCAGUCAUAGAUUGCAUGGAAGGAACCCUGCAAACACAUCUGGACUCAACUGGUUAAAAGUGUAGGAGCUCCUCUACGUAUCUGUUCAGAUGCUUCUGUAUUCCGAUCCUACUAGAAGAGUGCAACAGACACAUAGCAUUCAUUUGCUCAGAACACCAAGAUACACAUCUAGAACUGUGAAGAAAGUAAAAGAAUCAGCAGCAGCUUGAGAACAUGAUAGGAGGAAGAGAUGCUUCAAGUGUCUUCAGAAACAGGACAGUGCUAAAGAUAUGGAGCUAUCAACUGUUCACGCAUUUCAAACUGAAAGAGAAAAAGAUUGAAGUGAAUGCUGAGAGCACAAUUGUCCUGCUGAGAAAUGGCCAACAGCAGCAUCCCCAACAUGAAUGACAUUGAGACCACAUCAGCCUGCAGAGUACUGGAAGGGAGGAAGAUUAUUCUAGCACCUGCUGCAAACUUGUUUUCUCCCUAGGAGCCAAUGAGUCAUCAUAGCACAGGGAAAAUUAUGGAGCAAUGCAAUGCAGAGAAUUUUAAAAAUUCUACUCAUAAUUCUGCCUCUUUAUAAAACAAGCACCAUGAAGACAAUAUUUGCACACAGACAUCAUUCCUGUACAUUUAACAGUGGAGGGCCUUCCCAGCACAGCAGGUAUAACUUACUUUGUUGAAAAGAUAACAUCAGUGGGUCAACUUUCAUUCCUACACUCCAGUUGGUGCAUUUUUCACUGAAUAGGCAUAUUUAAAAUUUAAACACUUCUUUAGGAUUAAGGUCUACACACACAAAAUAUCAAACCUGUAUAAAUUAAAACCAGCUAUUAUUGUGAGUAGCAGAAAGGCUCUUAUGUAGCAGCCUGUGAAAGUUAAUCAGAAAACUGGUAAUAAUGGAGUCUUUCAAAAAUAAAACAAAGACACAAA